CACCGCGGUUAAACGAAAGUAGCCCGAGCUGAUAGACAACGGCACAAAAGGUGGCUAGGGAACACAUAAACUAAAGCCGAACACUCACUCCUCACUGUAUUAACGUACGCGAAGAGCAUGAAGAUCAUUUACGAAAGUAGCUUUAUUUCACCUGAAACCCACGAAAGCUAAGAAA
Molecule: ribosomal RNA, 175 nt
Filed under: Citharoides macrolepidotus (large-scale flounder)
Lineage: Eukaryota; Metazoa; Chordata; Actinopteri; Pleuronectiformes; Citharidae
Description: partial 12S ribosomal RNA
Source: RNAcentral